RNAcentral lists this unclassified non-coding RNA (307 nucleotides) under Hevea brasiliensis (rubber tree). Lineage: Eukaryota; Viridiplantae; Streptophyta; Magnoliopsida; Malpighiales; Euphorbiaceae. The record is from RNAcentral.
GAAUAAAUGGUAAAUGUAAAUGAGUAAGGUAAAUUGAUUAAUCUAAUUGGAGUGGGUAAAGAGCAAACAAAUAAAUUCUAGAUCUAGUUUUCAAUUAAACUAAAUUAACAAUGGGUAAUUCAAAUCAAAGUCUAAUUAUAUUAAAAAUGAUUCCAGAGUUGGGGGUUUAUGCACAAAUUAGUUGGGAUUUGUCUUGGGCAUUCCAAUUUUUAGGGAAAAAUAGAGUUUGAAGGAAAUUGAUUCUAAAUCCCUUUGAUAUCUUUUUCAAGCAAAUCAAAGCGUAUUCUAAAAUAACCAAACCUACUUU